ACCCAGGGUUAUCUUAUGAUUUUAUGAAAGCCUAGGAAGAGUACAUCUCAGUUACGAAAUAUUUCUUUUUAAAUCCCUUCUUUCUUUGAGUAAUCGAAUUUCAAAGAUUGCAUUCGAGCGCAAAGCUAAGUACUCCCUCAGACACAACACUGGGUUGGCUCGUGUCGGCUACGGCUAGUCUCGCUUUUCUAAUCCGCCUCCCGGUCUGUGGCGAAGGCGUAAUGUUGUUUUGAGGUCCACGUCGUGUGAUGUUGAUUUUUCCAAACUUGAAUGCCCUCGAGCUUGCGAUAGUCCAGCAGUCACGCCCGCAAAACGGUUGUUCGUACGAGUGCACGCGGUAGACGCAGUAUGACACGACAUCAUCCGCAGAAUCGUCGACGGAGGAUGAAUUACCGUCAUAGCAGUCACCUAGCCGCCGUGGGAAACACUCUUCAUGUGUAAUGAAAAUGUUGAGAACCUCGCAGCGGAAAUAUGGCAUUGCUCUUUCGGUUCAGGUGUCCUUGUGGCAGAUGCAUGCUGAUGCCGACGGCAGAAGAAUGCCUUUGUUGCCGCGAAAUGAGACGUUACUGAAGCAGCACAGCGGUUGCAUUUCAAGAAAUCUGUACUUUAAAAUACUGUGAUUGAAGACUGAGUUGCUCCAGGUAUCCUCUGCUACGUGAGAGGAAGCGACGAGUACGCUGUUAAGAGGAACAGCAAAGUGAACAAGAAGUUUUGGUACGUUGCCUACAAACAGUUUACCAGGUGGCUCUGGGGACCAUUAGGAAAGCUGAAAGCACUGCAGAAAAGUCCUCGAAGCAUGUGCUGUACAUGCCAUAAGGGAAAACUUUCCUUCUGAGGCAUACAAAGGUGCUUGAAGGCAGCAUUAAAUGCCUCCCAUCUUGACAGCAGUACACUGGAUGGUUUGAUCGUGAACACUGCUUUAUCACAACAGUAUCCCUUUCAUGAACAAUAGAGGUCUGCCAUAUACCCUUCUGGAAUAACCAGACAGCCGUUACACAGUAAAAUACAUUCUACAGACAUCAAGGCUUGUAAUGUUGCUUUAUUGAUCACUGUGUUUAUGAAUGAGCAUACAAGAGAUAGCAGUAAACAGGCAAACAAUGAAGGAGAACAUCCCCAUACUGUAUUCAUAUCAAUUUGCAAGUGCUACUUCACACCAACCAGUAACGCAAUGUAUGUAUGCUUUUUUUUUAUUCUGUGCAGUGCACAGGUGUUUGCCGCAAACACGUUCCAGUCCAUAAGCUCUAAGAGAACAUAGGCUAUCACCUUGCCUAUAAUUGAUUUAUAUAUUGAUAUAGAUAUAUACCGAUUCAGCUGCGAUCGUAUCAAGGGUCCAUUUCUACGUUCCACAUUGCAACACUAGAACCCACAAAACAUUUUAUGUAUGUGGUAACAGUUACAAGAAAUCGCCUUCUUUGAGGCUUCAGAUUGUAUAUAACUCCCAUUCCGGGGUUUUUGAUCUGUUCAGUGGUGACCUAUUUGGGGUCGUACGCCAACUUCGAUGCCUCCUUCAUGAUGGGUCCAAAGCUAGGCCAGUUGUUGUCUCGCCAUCUACAUGGUUUUGUCUUU
Molecule: long non-coding RNA, 1566 nt
Organism: Ornithodoros turicata
Lineage: Eukaryota; Metazoa; Arthropoda; Arachnida; Ixodida; Argasidae
Exons: 3
Source: RefSeq, a predicted model, not a curated record